This is a non-coding RNA of Camellia sinensis, 2129 nucleotides long. NCBI's taxonomy places the organism in Eukaryota, Viridiplantae, Streptophyta, Magnoliopsida, Ericales, Theaceae. The record is from RefSeq and is a predicted model, not a curated record.
CAAAAUUACCAAAUUACCCCCAGUUUGAUCCCUUUGCUCUCAUACCAGCAGUAAAAGAAACCACAUCCAUUCCCUCAGCUAGGGCAUUGUUAGAUGAGAAGAAUGAGGUGAUUUGGCUGAAUCCAUCGCUGAAGAAGAACAGCAACGACUGUUGUCCACAUCCGAAGCCGAUCAGAGUGCAAAUUGACGGCUACACUACAACCACGCGUCCUCGCCACCGCCGAUCGUGAGACAUUUACACAGUCACAAAACAAACCAUGGCUUCUUUUACGUCAACCGCAACUUCCACUACAUGGCCACAUCAGAUGUGUGCAUGUGGCUAUGGUCAAUGUGUUGUGAAGAUAUCGAGAUCAAAUAAAAAUCCAGGACGUUCGCACUUUGCUUGUUCCUGCCCUAUGGCGUCGAAUGCAUGGUGGGAUAAGAUGGAAUCGGUAAGUAAAUUUUUAAUUCCGCAUGUUUUAAUUGUUUCAUAUUGUUUUUUUACUUCGCCAUUUGUUUUUGUUGGUAGUUCGUUGCCCUCAUAUUGCCUAUAGUAACACCUCUUUUUACUUUUUUCAUUUUUUCAAACAAACAAGGUGUAUGCAAAGGUUAGGACAGAAACUCUGGAUCACCGCAAGUUGAUGAAGACAGUCUUCACAGGGGCUGCUGCUAUGAGUAAAAAUCAUUGGACCCCCGGAGAGAAAUGUAAUGAACUUGCAGCUGUUUCAUCAAAUUCUAUUGAAAGUAUAGGAUUGCAACCAUUCGUUGAUCCGAUCCCCGCAUGUGCAGCCAACGUGGAGGUAGAUUUGUCAGUGGGACCAGUUGAUACUAGGGAAAAAAGGAAACGGACUCCAUUAACAAGUUAUGAAAAGUCGAAGAAGGUAACAAGUGGUGUGUCAAUUAUAGCUGAAAGCAUGAAUAAUUUGACAAACGUGGUUCAGAGCCAAAAUCAGCAAGUCAUAGUCAGGCACCUCACAGGUAAUGAAUCACUGUUUACAAUUUCUAAGUGCAUGCAGCGGCUCAAAUCCAUUCCUUUCCUUCUCGGUGCCGUUAUUCCACUUUGCAUCAACACUGAUGGACAACGCAGAUUACUAGGAGGUAAUGAUAUGCCAGCCCGAUGAUGACCACAUUAUAGGAUGGCUGACACAGAAACAGAUGCAAUAAAGUGUUGUUGCGCCAUUUGCGAACUUGUUCGGUGCACGACGGGUUUGAUAGCUGUUGACGUAAGCGUUGGGUUGAGUUUCAAAGUAUUGAACCAAUUAGUGGAUGUGUGCUCGUAACAAACACAAAACAUGUAGUUUUUUCUUUAUUAGAAUGGUUGUGUGUCUUGUUUUACUAUUUUUUUAUUUGUUCUUUUUAGCUAUGUUUUAUCGCGAACAUGAACUGUGUGUGGUUUUUAUUAUGGAACUUUGCAGACAACGGCGGGCUGUCGUAUGAUGCUUGUUUUAUUUAUUUAUUUUUUUUUCUAACUUUGUCUAUCGUAAUUUUCAUUGUGUUGGUAAUGCAAGCGAAAAAUUCAUGGUUUAUAUUAGCAAGUAGCAACAGCUUCAUUGUUGAUCUAUUAUUAAUACAGCUAAUUACAUGUAAUUAUACAUUACAAUUUUGGUUCAACAUGGUCACAAAUAAAAGCGGCUGUGAUGGUCACAAAAUGUCUUGCCAAUUGUUAUUACAUUAUCCCAGUCCAUCAUAGGUCAACUGAUUUGAAUAGUUCCUAAUGUUGUAGGUGUCACUGAAUUUGACGUGAUGAACAACGGGAAAUGUAGCAACAAUGACGGUCUACUGGAAAUGCUGAACGAAAUGGCCAUACAGCUUCAACAACAAAAUAACUGGACAUUCCUCGAAGCAUGCCGGUAUGUGCAAGAGUAUUAUGAAAAGCACAUGUGUAAAACACCAUGUCGCAUUUCUAUUUUGAUUGGACAUGCAUGGAUAACCAAACUGUAUGUGGGCCAUGUUGGUCAGUUUGAGAAAAAAGUAUGCAUACUGAAUGAAGUUUUUGCGUCGUUGUGUAAUACGUUAGUCAAUGAUUUUGGGUUACAAGUACCCCAAUGUGAACAUGGCUUAGCCGUGCAAGAAAGCAUUGUAAUGUUUAUCCACGUGUUGAGAGGGUUUCAGAAUCGAGAAAUCCAAGAACGGUUUCAAUAUUCGGGGAG